This 252-nucleotide ribosomal RNA is filed under the name uncultured bacterium. RNAcentral describes it as "partial 16S ribosomal RNA". It matches the Rfam family "Bacterial small subunit ribosomal RNA", at positions 526 to 779 of the family's 1533-position model. The record is from RNAcentral.
CGUAGGGUGCGAGCGUUAAUCGGAAUUACUGGGCGUAAAGCGUGCGCAGGCGGUUGUGCAAGACAGAUGUGAAAUCCCCGGGCUCAACCUGGGAAUUGCAUUUGUGACUGCACGGCUAGAGUGUGUCAGAGGGGGUAGAAUUCCACGUGUAGCAGUGAAAUGCGUAGAGAUGUGGAGGAAUACCGAUGGCGAAGGCAGCCCCCUGGGAUAACACUGACGCUCAUGCACGAAAGCGUGGGAGCAAACAGGAUU